Molecule: ribosomal RNA, 235 nt
Filed under: Burkholderiaceae bacterium
Lineage: Bacteria; Pseudomonadati; Pseudomonadota; Betaproteobacteria; Burkholderiales; Burkholderiaceae
Description: partial 23S ribosomal RNA
Rfam family: Bacterial large subunit ribosomal RNA
Source: RNAcentral
AACCUCUGGUGUACCGGUUAUGACGCCAGUCGUAUCGCCGGGUAGCUAAGUUCGGAAGAGAUAAACGCUGAAAGCAUCUAAGCGUGAAACUCGCCUCAAGAUUAGAUUUCCCCGGGGACUCGAUCCCCCUGAAGGGUCGUGGUAGACCACCACGUUGAUAGGCUGGGUGUGGAAGCGCAGCAAUGCGUUAAGCUAACCAGUACUAAUUGCCCGUGAGGCUUGAUCCUAUAACCUU